RNAcentral lists this long non-coding RNA (917 nucleotides) under Populus tremula. RNAcentral describes it as "long non-coding RNA (PTRE_LNC001079)". The record is from RNAcentral. Lineage: Eukaryota; Viridiplantae; Streptophyta; Magnoliopsida; Malpighiales; Salicaceae.
UUGUCUAUGCUAAAAGAAUUGGAAUUAAUAACUACAAUUGAAUAUUUUGACAGUAAUAGCAAUUGAAAAUGGUAAGCUUAUAUUUCUUUUAGAAUUAUGUAACGUUUGAGUGUUGAAUGUAGAAUAAGUUAUGCACCAGGGGACAAUAAAUGAGAGAGAACCUUGAGAUUUUCCGUUUUCUUCUUGCAGGGUGGUGGGUUUUACUCUUGAAUAUCAUUCUAAAAAGGAAAUGUGGUUUUUUUAAAUAAUAAUAAUAAUACAAUCAGGUUGUUUUUGAAAUUCAAUUUACAUUGAAUGCUAAAUUACAGUGGAAUGAGGGGAAUUUAUGAGAAAUCGGAAUGAGAGUGGAAUGAAGGGGAAUUUGAGAAACCGAAUGAACUGGGGAAUUAUAGGGGAAUGAGGGAAUUUGUGAGAACUAAUUAUACUAUAUUUAUAAUUUCAGUUAUAAAUUAUGUGUUUAACUCAACAAUCUCUAUGGUUAUAACUAACAAAUCAAAAUAGAAUAGAAUUGAACCUAGCUCUGAACUCGAUCGUGUAUUGUGUUACCGCAUACGAGGUGAUUUUUGAAACUUAUGUUUAUUUAAUUAUUCGAUGAUGACAUUAUUUUUAAGAAUUAAAAUGAUUGAUCUUAUUGAUCAUUGUGAAUUUAUGAAUUGUAUAUUGUCAGCUUCUUUGAGCAUAAUUUAUUGUAUUGAUUGUAUAAGUAUUUUAUAUGCUUUUUUUAAUAUUUAUUUCCCUACAUUUUUAGGUUUUAUUAUCAGAAAACUACACUUUCAUGUUAUGGAUAGUAAGAUAAUUAAUGCAGCAUGCAUGUGAGCAGCUGUAACUGUGAUAGCUACAGGGGUAACUAUUAUUGAAGAAGAAAGAAAUAGAAUUUAUAUACCAAGAGAACCACGUAUAAAUGCAAUUGCUCAACG